This 280-nucleotide ribosomal RNA is filed under the name Klebsiella pneumoniae. RNAcentral describes it as "partial 16S ribosomal RNA". It matches the Rfam family "Bacterial small subunit ribosomal RNA", at positions 1254 to 1533 of the family's 1533-position model. RNAcentral also lists the same sequence under 3 other names. Lineage: Bacteria; Pseudomonadati; Pseudomonadota; Gammaproteobacteria; Enterobacterales; Enterobacteriaceae. The record is from RNAcentral.
CUCGCGAGAGCAAGCGGACCUCAUAAAGUAUGUCGUAGUCCGGAUUGGAGUCUGCAACUCGACUCCAUGAAGUCGGAAUCGCUAGUAAUCGUAGAUCAGAAUGCUACGGUGAAUACGUUCCCGGGCCUUGUACACACCGCCCGUCACACCAUGGGAGUGGGUUGCAAAAGAAGUAGGUAGCUUAACCUUCGGGAGGGCGCUUACCACUUUGUGAUUCAUGACUGGGGUGAAGUCGUAACAAGGUAACCGUAGGGGAACCUGCGGUUGGAUCACCUCCUUA